UCGGCUGUGAGAGGUGCUCCUUUGGCGCGCGGCGCGGCGCGUGUGUGUGGGUGUGUGUGCGUGUGUGUAUGUAUGCAUGUGUGUGCGUGCGUGUGUGUAUUCGCCCCGACUGAAACUGUAAAGUUCACACCAGACGUGUUGCUCUCUCCGCUUGCCGGGGCUGGGGCUGAGGCCGCCCCAACUUCACUUGCCCAAGUGACUGUGUGCCUUGCCCGGCGCCUCCCGUGGUGCUGCUGCUGCUGCGGUGGCGGCGGCUGCUGCUGCCCGCCCCUCCGGCCGGCAGCGGCAGCGGCAGCGGCGGCGUAGACGGCCGCCUCCUCCUCCCAGCACACCUUGGAGCGCGAGGGAGGCUGGCUUGCAAGGGGGCUCCCUUGCCAACCCCACCACUUACACCUGCACCUGACGACCACCUUCAAGCCACUUCCCCCCCGGGCGGUGCCUGGCGAGGGCAGAAAGAAUUAUAUUCAGUGAGAACACAUCGUGGAGAGAGGAAAGAAUAAUUGAACAAUUACCCUCUGCAUUUUCUUUUGGACCUGAAGAAUGUUCCUGCUGAAACACUAAGGCAACUUGGAGAAGCAGCUCACUGCAAGUUGCUGCUAGAAGUGUGACAUUCUUUUUCAAGGUAA
Molecule: long non-coding RNA, 626 nt
Organism: Dromiciops gliroides (monito del monte)
Lineage: Eukaryota; Metazoa; Chordata; Mammalia; Microbiotheria; Microbiotheriidae
Exons: 3
Source: RefSeq, a predicted model, not a curated record